UACGUAGGGUCCGAGCGUUGUCCGGAAUUACUGGGCGUAAAGAGCUCGUAGGUGGUUUGUCGCGUUGUUCGUGAAAACUCACAGCUCAACUGUGGGCGUGCGGGCGAUACGGGCAGACUAGAGUACUGCAGGGGAGACUGGAAUUCCUGGUGUAGCGGUGGAAUGCGCAGAUAUCAGGAGGAACACCGGUGGCGAAGGCGGGUCUCUGGGCCGAUACUGACGCUGGAGGAGCGAAAGCCGUGGGGAGCGAACAGG
Molecule: ribosomal RNA, 255 nt
Filed under: uncultured bacterium
Lineage: Bacteria
Description: partial 16S ribosomal RNA
Rfam family: Bacterial small subunit ribosomal RNA
Source: RNAcentral